UUCCGGUUGAUCCUGCCGGAGGUCACUGCUAUUGGGAUUCGGCUAAGCCAUGCAAGCGGAGGGCGCGGUCGAAAGAUCGUGGCCCCACACACUGCUCAGUAACACGUAGUCAACCUACCCUUGGGACGGGGACAACCUCGGGAAACUGAGGCUAAUCCCCGAUAGGUGAGGGACGCUGGAAUGCCUCCUUGCCCAAAGCUCCGGCGCCCAAGGAUGGGACUGCGGUCUAUCAGGCUGUUGGUGGUGUAACGGACCACCAAACCUACGAUGGGUACGGGCGAUGGGAGUCGGAGCCCGGAGAUGGGGACUGAGACAAGGCCCCAGGCCCUACGGGGCGCAGCAGGCGCGAAAACUCCGCAAUGCGCGCAAGCGUGACGGGGGAAUCCCAAGUGCCGUUGGUCUUAUGAUCGACGGUUUUUAGGAAGUCUAAGAAGCUUCCAGAAUAAGGGCUGGGCAAGACUGGUGCCAGCCGCCGCGGUAACACCAGCAGCCCAAGUGGUGACCACGAUUAUUGGGCCUAAAGCGCUCGUAGCCGGAUCAGCAAGUCCCUUGUGAAAUCGGGCCGCCUAACGGUUCGGCGUGCAAGGGAUACUGUUGGUCUUGAGGCCGGGAGAGGUCGGAGGUACUCCUGGGGUAGCGGUGAAAUGCUCUAAUCCUAGGGGGACCACCAGUGGCGAAGGCGUCCGACCAGAACGGACCUGACGGUGAGGGGCGAAGGCUAGGGGAGCGAACGGGAUUAGAUACCCCGGUAGUCCUAGCUGUAAGGCAUGCGGGCCAGGUGUCUAGCGCUCCUUGAGGGCGCUAGGUGCCGGAGGGAAGCCGUUAAGCCCGCCGCCUGGGAAGUACGGC
Molecule: ribosomal RNA, 849 nt
Filed under: uncultured archaeon
Lineage: Archaea
Description: bacterial SSU rRNA
Rfam family: Archaeal small subunit ribosomal RNA
Source: RNAcentral